UAGUAAUUCUAGAGCUAAUACAUGCAAAAGAUCCCGACUGGUGACGGAAGGGAUGUAUUUAUUAGGUCCAAAAUCAAUGCUGGAUGGAAACAUUCAGGAAAGUUGAUGAUUCAUAAUAACUAAACGAAGCGCGGAGCAAGACUCAGCGCUGAUACAAAUGAGUUUCUGCCCUAUCAACUUUCGAUGGUAGUAUAGGGGACUACCAUGGUCG
RNAcentral lists this ribosomal RNA (211 nucleotides) under uncultured fungus. Its description in RNAcentral is "partial 18S ribosomal RNA". It matches the Rfam family "Eukaryotic small subunit ribosomal RNA", at positions 150 to 352 of the family's 1831-position model. The record is from RNAcentral. Lineage: Eukaryota; Fungi.